RNAcentral lists this ribosomal RNA (253 nucleotides) under uncultured bacterium. RNAcentral describes it as "partial 16S ribosomal RNA". It matches the Rfam family "Bacterial small subunit ribosomal RNA", at positions 524 to 776 of the family's 1533-position model. The record is from RNAcentral.
UACGUAGGGGGCAAGCGUUGUCCGGAAUUAUUGGGCGUAAAGAGCGUGUAGGCGGCCAGAUAAGUCCGCUGUGAAAUCUCGAGGCUCAACUUCGAGCUGUCGGUGGAAACUAUCUGGCUAGAGUCCGGAAGAGGAGAAUGGAAUUCCUGGUGUAGCGGUGAAAUGCGCAGAUAUCAGGAGGAACACCGGCGGCGAAGGCGGCACUCUGGGCCGGUACUGACGCUGAGGAGCGAAAGCGUGGGUAGCAAACAGG